AAUACAUGCAAGUCGGACGGGAUUUAACUUAAAGCUUGCUUUAAGUUAAUGAGAGUGGCGCACGGGUGCGUAACGCGUGAGCAACCUACCUCUAUCAGGGGGAUAGCCUCUCGAAAGAGAGAUUAACACCGCAUAACAUCAACAGUUCGCAUGUUCGGUUGAUUAAAUAUUUAUAGGAUAGAGAUGGGCUCGCGUGACAUUAGCUAGUUGGUAGGGUAACGGCUUACCAAGGCGACGAUGUCUAGGGGCUCUGAGAGGAGAAUCCCCCACACUGGUACUGAGACACGGACCAGACUCCUACGGGAGGCAGCAGUAAGGAAUAUUGGUCAAUGGGCGGAAGCCUGAACCAGCCAUGCCGCGUGCAGGAUGACUGCCCUAUGGGUUGUAAACUGCUUUUGUCCAGGAAUAAACCCAGAUACGAGUAUCUGGCUGAAUGUACUGGAAGAAUAAGGAUCGGCUAACUCCGUGCCAGCAGCCGCGGUAAUACGGAGGAUCCGAGCGUUAUCCGGAUUUAUUGGGUUUAAAGGGUGCGUAGGCGGCCUGUUAAGUCAGGGGUGAAAUACGGUGGCUCAACCAUCGCAGUGCCUUUGAUACUGACGGGCUUGAAUCCAUUUGAAGUGGGCGGAAUAAGACAAGUAGCGGUGAAAUGCAUAGAUAUGUCUUAGAACUCCGAUUGCGAAGGCAGCUCACUAAGCUGGUAUUGACGCUGAUGCACGAAAGCGUGGGGAUCGAACAGGAUUAGAUACCCUGGUAGUCCACGCCCUAAACGAUGAUAACUCGAUGUUGGCGAUAGACCGCCAGCGUCCAAGCG
This 811-nucleotide ribosomal RNA is filed under the name Sphingobacterium sp. Its description in RNAcentral is "bacterial SSU rRNA". It matches the Rfam family "Bacterial small subunit ribosomal RNA", at positions 50 to 853 of the family's 1533-position model. The record is from RNAcentral. Lineage: Bacteria; Pseudomonadati; Bacteroidota; Sphingobacteriia; Sphingobacteriales; Sphingobacteriaceae.